This 328-nucleotide unclassified non-coding RNA is filed under the name soil metagenome. Its description in RNAcentral is "partial contains 5.8S ribosomal RNA, internal transcribed spacer 2, and large subunit ribosomal RNA". The stretch from base 1 to 120 matches the Rfam family "5.8S ribosomal RNA", at positions 35 to 154 of the family's 154-position model. The record is from RNAcentral.
GAUGAAGAACGCAGCGAAAUGCGAUAAGUAAUGUGAAUUGCAGAAUUCAGUGAAUCAUCGAAUCUUUGAACGCACAUUGCGCCCCUUGGUAUUCCGGGGGGCAUGCCUCUUCCAGCGUCAUUACAACCCUCAAGCUCAGCUUGGUGUUGGGCCCCGCCGCCCCGGCGGGCCCUAAAGUCAGUGGCGGUGCCGUCCGGCUCCGAGCGUAGUAAUUCUUCUCGCUCUGGAGGUCCGGUCGUGUGCUCGCCAGCAACCCCCAAUUUUUUUCAGGUUGACCUCGGAUCAGGUAGGGAUACCCGCUGAACUUAAGCAUAUCAAUAAGCGGAGA